RNAcentral lists this long non-coding RNA (580 nucleotides) under Homo sapiens (human). RNAcentral describes it as "non-protein coding lnc-TMEM232-7:1". Lineage: Eukaryota; Metazoa; Chordata; Mammalia; Primates; Hominidae. The record is from RNAcentral.
GCAUUUUCCCCGAUUGUCAGUGAGGCUCGGCACGCAGACACCCCGCUCGAGCCGCAGCAGUCGCUCUACUCCCGGGAUCAGCACCUUUCCGCCAGGGCUGCUCUCAGUUAGCGAUGUCAGGCCAGAGCUCCUCUUGCAGAUGCACCUUUAAUUUGGCCUCCCUCAGAUGACUGGAAUCUUCUGCGGCUUGUCCAUAGUGUGAAUAAAAACUAAAUCACAUCUAUAAUUCUACUGAACUGGUCACACAGACGCUGCCAUAUAUGUCACAGUACACUGAAAAGGAGCCAGCAGCAAUGGACCAAGAAUCUGGUAAGGCUGUCUGGCCCAAACCAGCAGGAGGGUAUCAGACAAUUACAGGCAGGAGAUAUGGAAGAAGACAUGCUUAUGUCAGUUUUAAACCAUGUAUGACCAGACAUGAAAGAAGCUUAGGUCGGGCUGGUGAUGACUAUGAAGUGUUGGAACUAGAUGAUGUUCCAAAGGAAAAUUCCUCAGGUUCCAGUCCUUUGGAUCAAGUUGAUUCUUCUUUACCCAGUGAACCUAUAUUUGAAAAAAGUGAAACAGAAAUUCCCACUUGUGGUUC